Molecule: long non-coding RNA, 522 nt
Organism: Micropterus salmoides (largemouth bass)
Lineage: Eukaryota; Metazoa; Chordata; Actinopteri; Centrarchiformes; Centrarchidae
Exons: 2
Source: RefSeq, a predicted model, not a curated record
CUGAGCCCAGUUCUCCCUUUGGACUGUGUGCUUCACGUCAAACUGUCGACUUCGUGUCAGUUAAACUUCAAUAUGUUGCUGUAAAAGGUCUCUGUUGUUGGUCCAGUUCUUGGUUGUUCUUGGCUGUUUUCUGGGGAUUAUUGCAUCUGGAUUCAUCCGGACUUCAUUCCUGCCGGCCUCUUCCUCUCAACAUGUUUGUGUUUCGGACUCCGCUCCUAGUUUUCCUCUCGCCUGCCUGCCUCAUCAUCAUUGGAAGUUUGUGUUCACCUUGUUUUGACUUAAUAAAUCAUGUUACAGAGUGAGCUGAGAGUCUGAGCCUGGCUCCUAUCCUUUUUACCUGCUGCCACGUUUGACACCACCUGACCUCUGCUCCACCAGGUUCCUCUCUGACGGCAGCACCCGGGGCUUCAAACUGGUUUAUACUGGUUGGAAACUGGGUUUAAUCUGGUUUUGAAAUGGUGUUAAACUGGGUGCACAUUUUUUAUUUUGGUAAAUAAAGUUUUGUCCUUCAGGGACGACGUC